UACGUAGGGGGCUAGCGUUGUCCGGAUUUAUUGGGCGUAAAGAGCGUGUAGGCGGCCAUGUAGGUCCGGUGUGAAAACUCGAGGCUUAACCUCGAGAUGUCAUCGGAAACCAUUUGGCUAGAGUCCGGAAGAGGAGAGUGGAAUUCCUGGUGUAGCGGUGAAAUGCGCAGAUAUCAGGAAGAACACCGGUGGCGAAGGCGGCCCUCUGGACGGUGACUGACGCUGAGACGCGAAAGCGUGGGGAGCAAACAGG
Molecule: ribosomal RNA, 253 nt
Filed under: uncultured bacterium
Lineage: Bacteria
Description: partial 16S ribosomal RNA
Rfam family: Bacterial small subunit ribosomal RNA
Source: RNAcentral